GGCUGGUCCAAAGGUAGUAAGUUAUCUCAAUUGACUGUUCACAGUCAGUUAUGGAUUGAACUUCUGGGUUCUACUCUUUUCCUCCUUCUCACUACUGCACUUGACUAGUCUCAU
RNAcentral lists this Y RNA (114 nucleotides) under Carlito syrichta (Philippine tarsier). RNAcentral's name for it is "Y RNA (ENSTSYG00000029445.1)". It matches the Rfam family "Y RNA". Rfam says of the family: Y RNAs are components of the Ro ribonucleoprotein particle (Ro RNP), in association with Ro60 and La proteins. The record is from Rfam by way of RNAcentral. Lineage: Eukaryota; Metazoa; Chordata; Mammalia; Primates; Tarsiidae.